AAGCUUUUCUUUUUGACGAUGUCCCCCCACCGCCGCCGCCCUGGAAGCCCCAGGCGUUGCCCCUGCAAGCUCCCGCUGGUGCCACCCCUGGUAUUCCCCGGCGUCGCCACCGCUAUGAGCCCUCGCCGACUUCGCCCCUGCAUGCUCCCGCCUGCGCCACUGCCCCUGCAAGCCGAUGGCGCUGCCCCUGGAAGCGGCCGGCUUCACCUCCCCUGGAAGCCACCUGCGACGCCGCCCCUAGAAGCUGCCUGGGAUGCUGCCCCUGGAACCAUCGGCGUAAAAUUCAGGUAAUUAGGAGGGGAUAAAUGCAUGCAUAGGUUUUGGAUUCAUCAAAUUCAGAGAUGAUCUAUGAAUUUUCUCUCUUUUUUCCCAGAGAAGAUGAGCUAUUAUAUGUUGUGUAGUGCCUUUGACUUUUCACUGUAGCAAAAACAGGAACAAUUCUCGGGCUCUUCUGAAGAGUGAUGAGUUCCUGGUAGUUCCUAUAGACUAGUCUGUUUCCAGUGUUGAAUUGUACAAGGUCUUGUUGUUUGGACAUCAGGCAUGAUGCUCAAAUUACUCUGCAUACAUUUUGUCUUGCAUAAAGAUGGAACUCCCGUUCAAUGCAUGCAUAUUAUUGGCAGUGUGGC
RNAcentral lists this long non-coding RNA (626 nucleotides) under Setaria italica (foxtail millet). Its description in RNAcentral is "long non-coding RNA (SITA_LNC000301)". The record is from RNAcentral. Lineage: Eukaryota; Viridiplantae; Streptophyta; Magnoliopsida; Poales; Poaceae.